GGGCUGCUGGUGUGGCUCAAGGGGUAGGGCCCCGAGUUCAAGGCCCAGUACCGCAAAAAAAAAAAGGAGGCAAAGUAAAUCUACCCUAUAUACAUCUCAGUCCAGGUCCUGUGGCUGCUCUAUAUUGUGAAUGGGGAGACAUGG
This 144-nucleotide small nucleolar RNA is filed under the name Castor canadensis (American beaver). Its description in RNAcentral is "Small nucleolar RNA SNORA51 (ENSCCNG00000005707.1)". It matches the Rfam family "Small nucleolar RNA SNORA51". From Rfam's summary of the family: ACA51 is a member of the H/ACA class of snoRNA that guide the sites of modification of uridines to pseudouridines. The record is from Rfam by way of RNAcentral. Lineage: Eukaryota; Metazoa; Chordata; Mammalia; Rodentia; Castoridae.